AGCUCACUGUUCCACCGCAUAAUAUUGUCCGUUUCCUUUCGUCUACGUUUGCGCCAAGGGAGAAUGUUGCAAGCUGUCCCUGUGGAUAUAUUGUGUCUUCAUGAGGAGUUCAGCGCAAAUAAGGGGGCGGUGAUGAUAAUCUGUGAAGAGUGGCAGCAACUUCUCACUACACGGAAACAUUUUCCAUUCUUCUUCAGGCGGUAUGCGCGUUUCUUUCUAAAGAAGCUCCAUGGACGAAGGCUGGUGAUGAACAUGGUGAAAAUGACAGAAGAAAGAAAGUCACACAUAUCUGGGAUGCCAUGAGGGUGAGUAAAUGAUGACAGAAUUGCAAUUUUGGGGUAAACUAUCCCUUUAAGUAGAUACAAUAACUAAACCUUACCACUUCUAAUUAUAAUUUGUAUGUAAAUGACUAAUAUAGAAAGAACUAACAGAAUUUUCACAGGGGCUUGUCUGACAUUGUAUUAUCUGUGUUCUGUAAGUGUUGUGUUUUGAAAUGUUGUCUGUGAGCAGAACAGAUUGGGCCUCCAUCCAAGGUGUUAGUAUUCUGUGCCAAGGAGUACAGAAUCAGCAACUUUAGAAGUAAAGAGUGAGUUUACAGGCCCGUGCAGUGAACCUACAAAGACUCAACAGUACUGAAUUAUGGGCCCCACCGCAGAGCUGCGUGAGGAGAACCUUCACUAUACUCUAAGAGGUACAAACAUCUUCAGUCCCAAAGAGGGCAUGCACAUGACAUAAAGCCUGAGGUGAAAUUCGUAUCAGGCAUCAGGGAAACUCCAAUGAGUGGACUGUUUGUGUCACAGUAUAUUAACCACAUAAAAGGGGUUUUGGCAUUUCAUAUAUUAAAGGUAUAACCAAUCCAUACAUUAAUAAUCACAGAUAAAAUGUUUCUCUGAUCUGUAAGCAUUCCAGUGUUCAAGUCGACACAUGGAGUCUGCAUGGUUGUGUAGGACUAAGUUCUUUAAAAGCAUGUAAAAUUGAAUUGAUAUCAGUGACGUCACCUGGCAUCACAAGAUCCUUCAGUUCUCAGAAAUUGCCCCUGGUAAUUGACAUACUGCCAAACCAACCAUUUAAAUUCAAGCCUUUCUGUUGAGAGUGAAGAUAAAAAGAAAUGGAUUUAUGGCAACAGAAAGUGCAGCUUUAAUGAUCUUCUAUGUGUGUGAUAAUAUUUACUGUAUCUGAAUUUGCUUGCGUCAGUUAUUCAAAUGUCCCUGUGACAUUUAUUCAUAUUGUCUGUAGAAUUUGAUAAAACUUGUAAUAAAAAUAAUUUGCA
Molecule: long non-coding RNA, 1270 nt
Organism: Xyrauchen texanus (razorback sucker)
Lineage: Eukaryota; Metazoa; Chordata; Actinopteri; Cypriniformes; Catostomidae
Exons: 3
Source: RefSeq, a predicted model, not a curated record